This is a long non-coding RNA of Pangasianodon hypophthalmus (striped catfish), 1465 nucleotides long. RefSeq lists it as uncharacterized. The record is from RefSeq and is a predicted model, not a curated record. NCBI's taxonomy places the organism in Eukaryota, Metazoa, Chordata, Actinopteri, Siluriformes, Pangasiidae. The transcript has 4 exons.
AAAAAACUGAAAGCAAAAGUUGUGCUAAGCUGGUGAUAUAAAAGCGUUCCUGUGUAAGAAAUCCUCCAUCUGAAAAGACUCCGUCCAUCCCAGGGUGAGAAGUCGUCAGAAGAAGAGGAGACCAUGAGUCACCAUCAGUGCUGUAGAUGCGCUUGCUCUCAAAGCAGUUCAAACAACCAGGUGAUGCCAUACAGAUCAUCAAAUCAAGUCGCCCUUCCAGGAGGCAAUAGUUUAAGGCAAAUUAUGACCACGCCUAAUCAUGAGACGAAAUUCCACAUGGAGCGCAAGAAAGUUAUUUACGUUCUUACUGAGAAUGGACUGGAGCCUGUUACCAUCACAGAAGAAAGAUCAUACCGGGUAGAAGGAGACGUGGAAUUCUGGUGAAGAAACAAAGCAGGGAAGCAGAAAUAAUCAAUCUCAAUCAAACUCAACUUCUGCUCAGGCCAUGUUGCUGUUUUUGUCUGUCAUCAUAAUCCAUAAUCUGUGUUGCUUAUUAACAUAAGUGCAAUUGUUCUCAAUAUUAACAUAAAUUACUUCAGUAAUCUGGUCUUUGAAAACAAUUUUUCUAGCAAAAAAAAGAGGUGUUAAGAAAUGGGUUACCUUUUGUUAACUGCAUUAUAUUGAGGAUUGUACUUUUUUAUUUGGCUAAAUAUCAAAAACAUACUUUUAACUUUUAAAAGCUCUAUCUCAAAUGGUGUGUUUAAAGUUUUAAAUACCUUUAGGAAAAAAGGCAAAUCAUUACAUUAUGCUACUAAUGCUCUCAUGUUUUAAAAAACUUGGCUUGGUGAAAUAUGGGCUGUUUCAAUUUUAAUUUUUAGCUGAUAUGAACCAAAUAAUAAUAAUAAUAAUUGAGCUCUUGGUUCUAAAAGUAGCUUCGUCUGACCCGGGAUAAUUUCUUUUCUUUAGGAUUGUGUGAAGAAUGUAGAUAAAAAUUCCUUCUUGUAGUGAGUACAUAAAAUAUUAAUUACUUAAAAUAGCAUUUUAUCCAAUAUUUCUGUGCAUUUAUUAUGGUUCAAAGACCGCUGACUCUACUUCAUUGGGUUAAUUGAGGGAGAAAUAAUCAACCUGAGAACCAGACUAGCAGACUGUAGCGUGUUAACUGCAUUAAGUGCACAAAAAUAAUUCUAGCUGUGUAAAAAUAGUAACAGCUGAGUCAGUCCACAAAGUACCUCACCUAUAUUUCCAUAAAAAAAAAUUAAAUGAUUAACAGACCGACGUCCGUGUGGGUUUCCUCUGGGUUCUCUGGUUUCCUCCCAAAAAUGCUAUGCUAAACUGCCUCAGGUGUGAAUGAACUGGUGCCCUGUUCAGGGUGGAUUCCUGCCUCACACCCAGAAUUCCCAAGAUAAAGUGCAAAUAUCGGAAUAUAUGUUGAGUAGAGUACUUUGUUUAUUAAUGAACAUUUAAAAUGUCUCUAUAAUUGGGAUGAGGGAUGUUACUGUGAAAUAAUAAAGCAUGUAAAAAUAUA